AGGGGAAGACUCACAUAGAGGCAGCAGUAGAGAAUCUUGUGCAAUAAACGAAAGUAUGACACAGAGAGGACACAUUUAAUUGAGCCCGUCAAAUUAAGUGCCAGCCGACGCGGUUAAACUUAAGGGCUGGUCUUUAUAAGUAAAAAGGCGUAAAGGAUGUGUAGGCCAAGAAACGACCCAAGAAGGUAAAUGGAAUUUUUCUGGAGCGGUAGAAUGUGAGGAUAGAAAAUAGAACCCCUAAGGUUAAAACUAUUUACCACAAGGUAGGCUGAAACAUGAGUGUGUGGGGAGCAAACAGGAUUAGAGACCCUGGUAGUCCACACUGUGAACUUUGAAGAUGAUGCUUAGCAGACCCGAAAGGUAAAAUCUUCCGCCUGAGUAGUACGAUCGCAAGAUUAAAAUUCAAAAACUUUGGCUGUUCACUAUUUCGAUUAGAGGAGCGUGUAGUUUAAUUCGAUGGUCCGCGUGUUACCUUACCCCAACUUGAAUCUGUGACCGGUAUUGCAUGGCCGUCGUAAGUUCGUGUAUUAAGCUAGAAGGGACCCAACCCGGGCAUUUGCCCGGAGGAAGUCAGGUCUUAUGAUCCGAAUGUUGGGGGAUUUUAUGCGCUACAUUUUCUUAUAUAAUGGGAGACCUGGAAGGUGAGCCUCUAAAGUAAGAGUUCGGAAGGUCGCUGUAAGACGACUGGAAGUUGGAUUUAAUAGUAAUCGGAAAGUAGGGCGUUCCGGUGAAUUGGUACAAGUGUUAGCACAAAUUGCCCGUCGCCUUUACCUAGAAUGGUUAUUCGGACGCCUUCGGUGGUUACGAAUGCCUACGAGGGA
RNAcentral lists this ribosomal RNA (821 nucleotides) under Urticina fecunda. Its description in RNAcentral is "partial 12S ribosomal RNA". It matches the Rfam family "Bacterial small subunit ribosomal RNA", at positions 327 to 1466 of the family's 1533-position model. The record is from RNAcentral. Lineage: Eukaryota; Metazoa; Cnidaria; Anthozoa; Actiniaria; Actiniidae.